GCGGAAGUGGCGAAAUUGGUAGACGCACCAGAUUUANNCCGCAAGGUGUAAGAGUUCAAGUCUCUUCUUCCGCACCA
Molecule: transfer RNA, 77 nt
Filed under: Vibrio metoecus
Lineage: Bacteria; Pseudomonadati; Pseudomonadota; Gammaproteobacteria; Vibrionales; Vibrionaceae
Description: tRNA-OTHER
Rfam family: tRNA
About the family: Transfer RNA (tRNA) molecules are approximately 80 nucleotides in length. Their secondary structure includes four short double-helical elements and three loops (D, anti-codon, and T loops).
Source: RNAcentral